UAACAACUCACAUUUAAUGCAGUCCCAGUUGGAGCCAGAGUGGCACUCAAUAAACAAGAAUGGACAUGACACUCUAAAUCAAGCAACACAGGGAGAAGGAAUUUCUUGAAUUCAAAAGGAUACAGAAGCUAAAUGUCACUUCAGCUGUGACCAUUACUCCCAGCCAGUAUGAGGCUUCAACAUUUACAAAAUGCAUUUAAUUCCUACAGAAAUCUGGAGGGUGAGCAUGCUGGCUUGAAUUGUGUCUUCCCAAAGGAUAUGCUAAAGUCUAAACAUCAGUGCCUGUGAUGUGACCUUAUUUAGAAAUAGGAUCUUUGCAGACAUAGCCAAGUUAAGGUGAGGUCACACUGGAUUAGCACGGGCCCUAAUCCAGUUACUGGUGUCCUUAUAAAAUGAGGGAAAUAUAGACACACAGAAAAGAGAAAGCCAAGCGAAGACACAGACACACCAGGGGAAGAUGGCAGAUACUGAGUUAUAAAGCAGUGAGCCAAGGGCUCCAGAAACCGAGGAGAAGUAUGGGACACAUUCUCCCUCUGAUCUUGCAAGAAGGAACCAACUCUAAUGACACCUUGAUUUUGGAUUUUUGGUGCCUAGAUCUGUGGGGGAAAAAAAUUCUGCUAUUUUAAGCCACACAGUUUUUGGUACUUUGUUAUGGCAUCCCUAGCAAAUUAAUAAGUGAGUAUUCCAUUUAUAGGGUGAAAACACAGAUUUCAGAGAUGCUUAGGAAUUUGCCCAAGAUUAUAUAGCAGGUAAACUGUUCCAAUGGGGACUUGAAACCCAGAGUUGUAAUGACAAGUCCUAGACCUUUUUCUCCACGUGACCUUGUCUUACAGGAUGUGCGUUACAUGGGCCUGUUUAGAAAAUUAACUGAUCUCUAUGUCUGAAAACAGUUGGCAUGGAAUAAUAAAGAGAUGUGUAGA
RNAcentral lists this long non-coding RNA (920 nucleotides) under Marmota monax (woodchuck). The record is from RNAcentral. Lineage: Eukaryota; Metazoa; Chordata; Mammalia; Rodentia; Sciuridae.